UGUUUAUUUUUAAUUGAAUUUGCUUUGUAGUCUUGAAAAUAGGAUGUUUUUUAAGAAAGCAUGUCCAUUUCACAAUGCUUUGUGAAUUUUGUGAAUUUUCUUUCUUGGUGUCCCUAGGGUCAUGGGACUGAAUUACAGUGGCUGAGCAGGACUGCUCCUGUCUAAACUACAGCGAUAAGAUAACGCCCGAACGUCACUCACUUCAGUCCAAGCAGAAAUGCACAUCCAGUUCCCCAGUGUAAAUCCACUCCACAAACCACAGCCCUUCUUUCACGUGUUCUGAAAUGUUUCUGCCAAUUCCAUUCUUGUUCGGCAGGUGUCUGAGAGGAUAGAAAGGACAUGCUGACUAACAUCGCAGAGACUUUAAUUUCAGUGUCCUUUCCUCUUGCUCUCAGACUCUGCACCUGUCCUGUCUUUGCGCACCUUCUCCCGCACAAACCAAGAUUAUGUGAUAGCCGACACGGCGGUGAAAGAAAGGAAGAACUAGAAACAUCCCGUUUUCUUUCCUCAGUCUCAUGUGAGCUCAGGGGGCGUGAUUUGUCCCAAAGUGGAGUUUUAUUUUAAGGCUUCUCAAUGGGAGCUUGGUGAAUGGGCAGUUUUUAGCACGCUAGUUGCGGCUGGCUUUGUUCCUUUGGUUAGAGCCCUGUGCUCAUGUUGAUAUGUUGGCACUGCGGUUUGCCCAACCCAGACAAGCCACACAGGGAUCACUGAGACACGCGGAGGAGAAGACAACCAGACCAGUGAGUGCACGGAAGUGGGCGUCUGCUGUAUAUGCUGCUUCCUGUUCCUCUCUGCAUGCCUUGUUUGUGCCAGAGAACUUCUGGGAUAAAGGAAGUUCUGUGCUGACAUGCUGAGCCAGUGGAAAAUCGCAGUGUAGGAACCGAAGUGACCAGAGGAAGCAAUGAGCCAGUGUGUUCGGACUGAUAGCAGGUCUGCAUUGGCUGGCAUGAGCUCACCAGUACGUUAGCGUCAUGUUCCGCCCUUUUGCUUGUUCAACAUUGAUCCGGGGUCAUGUGACCAACACAUCAACAUGGCUCAUCGAUUAACAUCAAUUAAAGAGAAGAGGUUUUGUCUAAUGUUGUUCAGUUUGCCUGACCUUUGAAUAUGCAUUUUUUCACUGAAUGCUUUAUAACCCACCUCAAAUUGUUCCUUGAACAAAUAGCCAUAUCUCGAAUCUUGAUAAGACAACAGGGCCACAAACUUUGCCCUCCUAACUUAGUAAGACACUACAAGUAGUACUGAAAAUGGAAACACUUUCAAUAUCGUUUAAUGCCAUUAAUAGAACAUAGGAAAUAUAGGUUUACAGUGAUCUUUUACCUAGAAAAAUGUGUAUUUGUAGACAAUAUUUGAACAAGCUACGCAUGUUAAAUCCAGUUCAGACUAAGUGAGCAGGCAUGACACCUGCUAUGUCCUAACCCAGCACUACAGCAUGUGCUAGUGAUGAAUGGGACGGGUGAACCGCAGAAAUGUCCAAGCAUGCUUACAGCAUGAAUACAGCUCUGCUCUUUGGUUCGUUCACAUCACCUGUUAAAGCUGGCCACACACGUUGAGAAAUCGGUUUGACUUUAACUGUUUGUCACUUAACCAGAUCAUAAGGUCUAUGGACUUUGCCUUAAAUUACUGGAAAAAAAGAUGAAGACCAAAGGUUACACAGGGUACUGAGCAUAACACCCUACCACUGCUCCCAAGACACAGAUUUGAGCUUGCAUCAAAAAUGCGCAGAAACAAAUGCAUCUGUUACAAUUGGC
Electrophorus electricus (electric eel) is the source of this 1748-nucleotide long non-coding RNA. RefSeq lists it as uncharacterized. NCBI's taxonomy places the organism in Eukaryota, Metazoa, Chordata, Actinopteri, Gymnotiformes, Gymnotidae. The record is from RefSeq and is a predicted model, not a curated record.